UCCGCGACUUUCGCGACAUGGAACGGUUUAUCGAUGUACUAACUUAGAGAGAAAUCGAAAAUCGAAUAUCUUCGAUAAACGGUUUUGACGAGUGAAAGUGGAAAAAGUUUCAAAUAAGAAGAUUAGGAUCAAUUCAAAGCCGGCGGAAAGUAUCCUCCUGAAAACGACGAGGGAACAAGCUCGAACGAACCAAAGAGAAUUUCUCGAGAACCUGCGUGGAAUUACUAUCCGGUGGAGAGAUUGAAUCGUCAGGAAAGAAACUUGAGCACCAGGAAUUCGAGCACCGUCCACCCGAGCAUCGAAGCGAUAAUUACAAGGAAAUCGAGUGCGAACGAGCGGUGUUUAUCGGCUGCGAUCGGCCAAGCCACUGGCGGGCUAACCGAUAGAGAGAGAGGGAGUGAGAGGGGGGGGAGAGAAUCUGUGUCAGAGGUUGCUUAUGCCUCGGAUUUAUGGGUUUGAUUACUCGCCGUGGCGGCAUACGUGCCGCGAUUUUGUAUGGGUAAAUCGUGAUCCUCCACGCCUCCUUGCCACGGCCUUCCCUCCACCCCGCCCUGGCGAAACCCCGAUCGCGUAUAAAGUUAUCGCAUUCCCGGCCCCGUAAGUGUCCAUUGUCUACUUUCAGGCCCGCAUUAUGCCCGUUCCUUCUCUUCCCACCAACUUCCCAUCCUGCCCGCUGUAAUUUCACUUUUACAGCCGCGUAUCCAAUUGACCGGCGAUAAUCCCCGUGCGUGCCACCUCUCCUCCCUUUGCUCCGACGAAUCUUUACUCUAAAUCUGCUCGUUAGAUCCUAUGGAAAUUUAUGUGAUGAUUCUUCUCAAACUCCAAUGGAGUAUGCUUGCUGUCGUUCGAAAGUUUUGCGAGGAAGAAUCGUCGGAGAUUCGUUGAAAAAGUUUGUUGAGAUUUUUAAUUAUAUGUAUAAUUGUACCACAUCACUUUUAUAUUUCUUUCCACCUCGUUUCACAUUAUGGAUCACUCGAAACUUUAAAUUCUCAAUUUUUUCUCUCGUUCCAAGGUACUCACGGGCUGGAGCAAAGACGCAACCAUCGGAGCGAUGAUGGUGGAGAUGGAGGGGCACGAAACGGUCGAAAAACGGCGCAUCAAUCUUGCACCGGCUCUCCCGAAGCGUGGCCAAAGUCCCUCGAGGAGGAGGACGGUGUCGGGGAGAGACGUCGGUCGGCGAGAAGAUGAGAAACGUCGCGGGAGGUCCGGGAUUGAUGGACAUCCUCACCUACACGCCUGAUUAUUUGCCACCACACGCAGCUCGUAACCUGGCUUCGUAACCGCUCUUACGCGUGUUGCCACGGAUUCACACCGAUAAUCACGUCGAUCGUUAGCGCCUCAUUCACGCCUCAUCUCGACAAACGUCGUUGAUUUCCAUAUCCUUACCUCGUUCUCGAGCUUUCGAAGAAGAUUUUAGAUUUUCUUGGUUCUUGAGAUUAGCAUUGCUUUGGAAUUCAAUUUUUAAUUUAUAUGGAUAAUGCUUUGGGCUUCCAGUGUUUAAGUAAGUUAGUCUUGGAUUUCUUGAUUUUUGGAGAUAGCAUUGCUAAUUGAAGUUCAAUUUGGUUUUUAUUUAGGGUGAUGAAUAAUGCUUUGGAUUUUAUUCCUCAAAUACAUCUCUAUAUUUUCUCCUUUUUUGAGAUUAAUAUCGAUUUGAGAUUAAAGGAUUCUUCUUUACUCGAGAUCUUCCUAUCUUAUAGUUUCCAACAAGUUAAAGGAUUCUUCUUUAUGACUAAUCUCUCGAUUUUUAGUCUUUGAUCUUUCGCAUCUUUGUGACUUUAUCCCCUCUUUACAUCAUACAUUCCUUUUCCAAUUUUUAAAAUUCCCAAUAAUUCGUUUUUCAAAUCAUUCACAAAUUUCAAUUAUUCUUCCAUUUAAAUCAAGACUUUAUAUAUAUAUAUAUAAGUCAUCGACGAAUCAUUCCUCAUUUUCUUGCUUACGUGAUUUUUAAUCGAGUAAGUAAACGGGAGGUAAGCAGGUGUAACCGCAUUAUAAAAGCCGCUUCUCAACACCUCAUCUCUCAACGCGUUUCUUCGUUGAUGAUGCUCGAAACUGGUCGGCUCAUUAGUAUGUGAGGGGCUGGUUGCCACCUACCGGGCGGGGCAGCGGGUCAUUGAAACAAUGGUGUUAUGACUAGACAUCAUCAGAGAGUCCCGGUCUGAUCGAUUUCCUUGGAUGAUCGAUCGAUUCAACGUUUCUCCAUUUGCUGACCUCUCUCUCUCUCUCUCUUUCUCUCUCCUCGAAAGACUUCCUCUUCCUCGCGCUAUUUUCACCUCUCGUCCAUCGCCUAUGUACGCUAUAUAUAUAUAUGUGUAUAUAUAUGUACACCUUAGAAAAUGAACGCUGUGUAAUUACUCGAAGCUUUCUGUACACGUAAUCUCGAUGUAAAUUAGUUGGGUAAUUUAUUCGAGGGAAAUCAAUGAAGGGGCACACACAGGAUCGGUAUAAAUCAGACACGGAACGUUCCUUCUUUUUCUCUCUCUCUCUCUGUCUAACAGGAAGCAUCGCUUAUUCGAUCAAAUCGAUCGAUGGCUAAUAGACCUCUGCCGCGGGAGGAUCAUUAAUUAUGGCGUAAUACUACGUCGAGGAUGCGUCGAUCAACCUAAGAGAAGGGAACUGCUCCUCUCCUCUUUUAAGAAAAGAGAGAGAGAGAGAGAGAGGGAGUUAAGCCAGGUAACCAAAGUUUUGGGCUGGAAACGUUGCCAGGCCUGCGCAGCCCUCAUCCUCCUACCCCGAAAAAGGGUACAGAGUGCCAGUCAUAUAUUAGAGAACUGUUGGGGACACCUAACAAGCUGGCAGGACACGUUUCCCAGAAUCGGGGCUAACCGCCACCCUCUAUGGCUCUCUCCCACCCUCCCCAGGUUUUCUCCUUUUGUUUUCUCGAUAUUCCACCACGUAUUUCACGUCCAACUAGAAGCCAGCCGCGGAUAGAUAUUGUUUCGCACGCUCGUUCACGCUCCUCUCUUUCUCUCUCCCUUUAAACCGUUCAUCCUUCGGAUUUUUUAAUCAACUCGAAGAACCCGUUAUUCUACGUUUCAUACUUUUUCCAAUAAUUAUUUUUCAAUCGAUCUGAUCGCUAGGAGAAUUUUGGGAUAAAGUUUAUCGCACAAAUAGUCGCGAGACGAAUGUAUAGGAAGUAUAUAAGUAACGCGUUUGUAGAUAAUUCAAAGGUACGAUCAUUUAAUAAUCUCAGAUCCACGUAGUUUUAAUCUUCUUUCUUUUCGUUCGUCUCCUUUCGUUCUCUCCUUUUUUUUAUUGCUACUUUGUUCGAAGCGGAUGGCUUUUAAAGGUUUAAUUACCCAGGUUGAAGAGGUUUUCGCAACGGGAUAUUAAGGCGAGCGCGCAACUAUCGUCCCCCCUCCCUCCAGGCUUAUCGGUGAUUAUUAAUCCGGUAGUUCCCUUUUAUAUACAUGGUGAGCUGUGCAACCUGUUCGCCCAGGAAUUAUUAUUAACAAGAGCGCAAUCCCCGGGGCAUUAAACGAUAAAUAGAAACGGUAUCACUCGCGGCAUUAAACUGUCUAGAGAUUGAGCAAAAAAGCUGGUGUAUAUAGAGAGUCAUUUCUCUUUUUGAAAAAUAUAAUUGAAAAAGAGGAGUGAUUAAAGGUGAUAGGAUUAUGUUAAUUUAUAUACAUUUAGAACAUUUUUGGAGGAUAGAUUUUUCUUUAAUCUGUUAAAGUCUGAUAGUCUGCUAAAGGUAGAUUACUCUAUCUGUGUAAUGUAAAUUUAUAACAUUAAUUGCUACGUCGAUUCCCUUUAUUUAAUCGCUUGUAAUACUCGAUAGAUAAUCUUCAAUCGACAUUUUAUAUAUGUAUCUUCGUCACCUCUUCCUCAUACAAGGAAAAUUUCAAUCAAGUUUGUUCAAUUUGAUACGAUAUUUUCUUUUUUUCUUUUUUUUUUAAUACGUGUAAUAAUAAAUUCCUGUUUCCUGUUUUGAUCUUCAGAUUCUACUCUUCAAAGCGUGCAAUUAAAAUUAACUCAUCAUCGACGACGCCUCUCGCGGUGUUACUCGAUCCGGAACCGAGAUGAAAUUUCCACGUUGUUUUCCACGUUGUUUUAACCAAUGAUCUUCACUACAGAAGUUUCGAAAGGAAGAAAAAAGCAUCGAUUAGCUUUGUACUUGACACUGCCACAGAGAUCAUCUCUACCCGAUUCCUGGAACUGGAACUCGACAUUUUCAACUUUUGAGAGACAGUUAGAAACUUGAGAUUUGCAUCACGUAAAAUACAUUAUAAAAAGAUGCCUCUCCCUCUUUCUUUUCACCUAUUCAAUGAAAGAAGUCAUUAAUGAUUCUGAAUACCUAUAUAUCUAUACGUGUAAUUAACGCAAUCGAUGAUUUACGUAUGAAAAAUAUUCAGGAUCUUAAUUUCGCGUUUGUUCGGAAUUGCGAGCGGUUCGAGGACAUCCCUGGAUGGGUCAGGUAGCUCGGGACACUGGUAUCAGAAACACAUCGUGUCCUACACGGCUCGCGUCUGAUAACACUAUUACUCGAAACGAUUCACACGGAUCUCUUUUCCUUCCGCGAUUAGAGACCUGCCCGAGAUCCCGGGAUAAUGGGGAUCCCUCUUCGAAACGAAGUGAAUCGAAGAUAGCCGAGGAAAGGCUAUCUUUAUCAUCGUCGAUUUGAUCACGGUUGACAGGCUGUCCCUCCAACGCUUCCUUAUUCGUGGUAUCGUUGUUUUCACGCUUAGCCUAGAUGGCGCCACACGCGUAGCGCUACGAGUAACGUUGCGAGAUCCGGUGUGUAAUUCGUCCUCGAAAGUAUAUCAACGUUAUUUACUUUAAUUUGAAACGAGACACGGUUAUAGGUAGAUAGAAAUUUUAGGGAAUUUCGAGAUAAAUAAUUUUUAUAAGAAAAUCCAUCGGUAUGGUAAAUCCCUCGACGGAGUUCGAUCGAAACGAAAGAAAAACAUAACCUCGAAAUUUCGAAAUAGAGAAUUCGGGAAAAUAGACUUUUCCUAGCGUUUGCGAGGAUUUACGCGAAAAAAAAGGAAAAACGAUAUCGGUAAAUACGUGUUACCAGUAUUCUGGCAAAGAUCUGUGGUUUAUCGUGAGGAUCGGAGAGGAAUCUCGAGGAUAGAAAUCCUCGGCCGAUGACAAUAUGGGCUCGCGAGGAGGAGGAGGGGAGCAAAGGUAACGAGCGGCGGUGGAGAGAGGGGUCAAGGGUAAGGCAUUCCACCAGUUGACACUCUAGACUGGCCCGAAUGUUUCGGAUGGUUUCUCUUCUCGACCUUUCGUCCCGUCCCUGGUGCAUCCCGUCGCCACGGGUUUCCAGCUGGAUCCGACACGCCGUGUUACGGGCCCCGUGAGGCCCACGAGAGACAACAGAGCGAGAGAGAGAAAGAGAGAGAGAGGAGGAGCCGUGCGCCGUGUGGCACGGUUCGUGUUCUCGGUUCUCGGAAUCGCUAAUUAGUGUCCUCCUUGUUUUAUUCCCAUGCCGGGCUCGUCCUCUCCCUGAAAAUCCUUGUCCACGACUAGCCUCCCCUUUCCUGCCUUCCUCGUGCCAUCCUUGCGUUUGACGCGUUCCCUUGACGAUUUCAUCGCGGAUCCUGGAAUGGAGAUGCACUCGUCUUUGGAAAUGGAGAGUCUGUUAUGAGGUCUUUGAAGAUGGUAGAAAUUGUACCGUUGCUUUAGAGUAUCGAUAUAAAGCUCGAAGUUCAGAAAUUUUAAUGUUUCUUUUUUCUUUUUUCGAUGUAGAUGAUGCAGCUGAUCCUUGAACUUGGAAAUAGAGAAUUUGUUAUGAGAUCUGUGACGAUAAAUGAAGAAACGUACAGAUGAUGGAGCUGAUCCUUGAACUUGGAAAUAGGGAAUCUGUUAUGGGAUGUUUGAUGAUAAGUGAAGAAGCAUAGAGAUAAAAAUUGUAUCAUUGUCUUAAUUAGUUUAAAGUAUCAAUAUAAGACUUUUUAGGAAGUUUUAACGUUUCUUUUUUUUUUUUUUUUGAUAUAGAUGAUGGAGCUGAUCCUUGAACUUGGAAAUAGAAAAUUUAUUAUGGGAUGUUUGACGAUAGAUGAAGAAACAUAUAAAUAGAGAGAUUGGUGGUAAAUUGAUAAAAAUUUUUGUCUAUCUCCAAUCUUUUUUUUUUCAUAUACAUACUGUUGUUGAUGGAUAGAUGAAUGGGAUCUUUAAGUUAAAAUUAUUGACUCGACUUUAAGGAGAAGAUCUUGCGAAUCAUAAUACCAUAAUAGAUCCAAAUUUAUUUAUCUUCUCAUUAACAAUUUUACCGUAGAAUCUAAAUAAAUCUCUGAACGAGUGCAUCGAGUCAAGGAAGAUUCGCAAAGAUUCUUAUUCUUUAUUGGAAAUAUUAAAGGUCCAUUCCAUUAUAUGCAAAAUUAGUUGGCGGGCAAUCGUCAUCGUUGUCGUCACUGACCCAGGCCGCAAGAUAACGACGAACGUUACGAGCAGAUCGGUUUGUCUUUCCGGGACGAUUCGAUCGCGAGUUCUAUCAAGGAAGAAGAGUCGAGGGAAUGCCAAGCGUUCCCGUACGAGCGGAGAUCGAAAGGUUUAUCGAUUUCUUCAACGAAUUUCUCGAAUGCUUUACACUUCUUCACCAACCUUCACACCUCCCCGAUCUAUCGAGCCAUCUCUCCUCCCCUCCCCCUCCACUCGUGGAUUUGAUCCACGGACCCAGAUCCCCCGAAACGGGCCCUCUUUCUCGGAAUCACUAAUUAGCGUCCUUCUCGCUUUCUUCUUUUCCAAUCAGCCGGACAGUCGUCGAAUCUGAUCGAAGAGAGCAAGGAGCCAGGGCCAGACUGACUGACGCCUUCGCAUAAUUUACGACACGGUAACGUUCGAUCCAUCCACGAAAAACUGAACCUCGUUGAUGGAAGCAAGGGGAAGGAAGGACCCGUUUCAAGAAUCCGUUUCCAUAUAAUUACGAUCUUUCGGAUUGAAUCGGUCUGCAUUUCGAUCUCUAUCGUGUAAUUAUUCCUAUUUCAAAAGAGUUUCGUUGGAAAAGAAGAUGGAGUUUGUAGGAAGAGGAUUGUUGAGGGAAGUUUGAUCGAAGUAAUUUCCUUUGAUUCGAGGAUACUUUCGAAAUAAGGAUCAAAUUUUUAUCAAAAAUGUUUUCACAAGAAACGCGUACAUAAAAGAGAGAAAGAAAUGGUAAUCUUUCUCCGAGCUUGGAGAAAAUGAGCGGAUGGUCGAAUCGAUUGGCUGUUUCAAUUGCAGUGGAAAGCAAGCAAGGGAGAAGGAGGCGAAAAGCCGGAAUAAAAAAUGGGAAACGGUGGGAUCCUAAGUGACACGUUUCGAGAAGGAUGUUGAAGACGAUAUUAAGAGCAGCCGAAAGUAUGCGGAGCGUAUCUGUCGCGCGACACGCCGCACGGGCGCACAUAUCUGCACGUCCUUGUUUGGCAAUAAGAACUGCCUCGGAAUAAAGCAGAAACGUGACCGGCGCUCCUCGCAAUUUACGUCAAAAGCGGCGUCGUGGAUUCCCGCAUACCGAAUAACGACGUCGUCGAGAAUAAUGUCGCCUAUGUAGAUUCGAUCCCGAUAGCAGCAAAAUACCACGCCGGUAUCUCGCCGCAGUCCCUCACUCUGGUCGAAAGGAAAAAGAAAAAAAAAGGCAAAAAAGAAAAAAAAGAAGGAAAAAAAGGAAACAAGAAGAA
Apis cerana (Asiatic honeybee) is the source of this 7598-nucleotide long non-coding RNA. RefSeq lists it as uncharacterized. Lineage: Eukaryota; Metazoa; Arthropoda; Insecta; Hymenoptera; Apidae. The record is from RefSeq and is a predicted model, not a curated record.